GAGGAAACCGGUGAGAUCCCGGUGCGGUCCCGCCACUGUGACCCCCACCCGGGGGUGAGCCAGACACUC
This 69-nucleotide non-coding RNA is filed under the name Geodermatophilus sp. The record is from RNAcentral. Lineage: Bacteria; Bacillati; Actinomycetota; Actinomycetes; Geodermatophilales; Geodermatophilaceae.